AUUGAACGCUGGCGGCAGGCCUAACACAUGCAAGUCGAACGAGUGGCGGACGGGUGAGUAAUGUCUGGGAAACUGCCUGAUGGAGGGGGAUAACUACUGGAACCGGUAGCUAAUACCGCAUACCCUAGGCUGUGCCCAGAUGGGUUUAGCGAGUGGGUGGGGUAACGGCUCACCUAGGCGACGAUCCCUAGCUGGUCUGAGAGGAUGAUCAGCCACACUGGAACUGAGACACGGUCCAGACUCCUACGGGAGGCAGCAGUGGGGAAUAUUGAACAAUGGGCGCAAGCCUGAUCCAGCCAUGCCGCGUGUGUGAAGAAGGCUUUCGGAUUGUAAAGUACUUUAAGUGGGGAGGCGUUACCCGCAGAAGAAGCACCGGCUAACUCCGUGCCAGCAGCCGCGGUAAUAC
Molecule: ribosomal RNA, 406 nt
Filed under: uncultured bacterium
Lineage: Bacteria
Description: partial 16S ribosomal RNA
Rfam family: Bacterial small subunit ribosomal RNA
Source: RNAcentral